CCGGCCAACCUCGCCGCACCAAAAGCUUCUCUGGCUCCAGGGCCGAUAGCGGCACGCGGUCAUGUUUGCGGCAAGUGGCACAGUUUCUGCCCUCUCAGGCAGACCACGCCCUGCUGCUGCCCACGCUCCUUACUGCCGCCCGCCCUUACCCGAACGACUUACCUGAGCCAGUACCUCCUCGUUCGCUCCCGGUACCCGAGGAUCCCGCACACGGCCAUCUUGGCCACGCCCCCUCACGUUUAGCCACGUCCCUACGCAACAAACGCCAUUUCGUCAUUCCAGGUUACGCCCCUAUCAGUCCCCACUCUGUCCCCGACCCAGGCUCAAAUCUCGCCCUGGCCACGCUUCCCCAGCGCCGGAGUCCACACCUGCUCUGCGCUCUGGCUACACAUCUCCUGUCGCUGCCACGCGCCUGCACGCUAACUUGCCGACGCCUCUGCCCUCCGCCUGCUCCACCAUCUUUGUUACGCCCCUCAGAGCAACAAGGCACGCCCACAGGUGCAGAAAAUGCUUUUAAAGUGAGACUUAGUAUCAGAACAGCUCUGGGAGAUAAAGCAUAUGCCUGGGAUACCAAUGAAGAAUACCUCUUCAAGCGAUGGUAGCUUUCUCCAUGAGAAAAGUUCCCAACAGAGAAGCAACAGAAAUUUCCCAUGUCCUACUUUGCAAUGUAACCCAGAGGGUAUCAUUCUGGUUUGUGGUUACAGACCCUUCAAAAAAUCACACCCUUCCUGCUGUUGAGGUGCAAUCAGCCAUAAGGU
RNAcentral lists this long non-coding RNA (758 nucleotides) under Pan troglodytes (chimpanzee). RNAcentral describes it as "long non-coding RNA NONPTRT018438". Lineage: Eukaryota; Metazoa; Chordata; Mammalia; Primates; Hominidae. The record is from RNAcentral.